This is a small nuclear RNA of Hippopotamus amphibius kiboko, 107 nucleotides long. Lineage: Eukaryota; Metazoa; Chordata; Mammalia; Artiodactyla; Hippopotamidae. The record is from RefSeq and is a predicted model, not a curated record.
GUGCUCACUUCGGCAGCACAUAUACUAAAAUUAGAACAAGAAGCAUGAGAUUAGUAUGGCCCCUGCACAAGGACAACACACAGAUUCGUGAAGCGUUACAUGUUUGU